RNAcentral lists this small nuclear RNA (131 nucleotides) under Saimiri boliviensis boliviensis (Bolivian squirrel monkey). RNAcentral describes it as "U4 spliceosomal RNA (ENSSBOG00000014496.1)". It matches the Rfam family "U4 spliceosomal RNA", at positions 20 to 138 of the family's 138-position model. From Rfam's summary of the family: U4 small nuclear RNA (U4 snRNA) is a component of the major U2-dependent spliceosome. The structure of U4 snRNA from yeast and human has been reported. The record is from Rfam by way of RNAcentral. Lineage: Eukaryota; Metazoa; Chordata; Mammalia; Primates; Cebidae.
AUUUUCUCAGCUUUGCGCAGAUGAGGUUUAUCCGAGGCACAAUUAUUGCUAAUUGAAAACUUUUCCCAAUACCCCGACAUGACGACUUGAAAUAUAGUCGGUAUUAGCAAUUUUUGACAGUCUACAGGGAC